AAAAAUAAAAGUCAAGAUAAGGAUAAGGAUGAAAUCAAGUUCUAGAGAAUUCAAAGGAUAAGGAUGAGAAUAAAAAAUUAUUUCAGGAAGGACUAAACUGCAAACUGAUUUAACUCUGAAGGACCAAAGUUAAUAACCGACCUAUUCUAUAGGGACCUCACUGUGACAUCAGAAAUAGUUUUAAUUCAAAUUCAGGUCCCUGGUUUUGUCUAUAAAUACCACCACCGAGUUCAAGUUCAAACCAGCUCAAAUUAGAGCAACCCAAGCCUCCAAAUACUUGCUAAACCUUCCCCUCAGCCUCCUAAAGCCUUCCCUAACCUCUUAUCCGCCCAACAACCACCACAAAACACCCAACCGAGCUCAAGAAAUUCCGAAACUUUGAGCUCUCGGUUCUCCCUCAAAUCUCCAUCAAUUUUGUCAAACCAAGAGUCUAUUUUGCUUAGAAUUUCACCAGGAAGCUAUUCGUGCAAGAAUUUUGAAGUUUGGAGGUCUAGAUUUCAUUCUGCCAUUGUUGACCGGAAAAGCUUCACGGUGUUCAUCGUUUUGGCCAAACCAGAGACCUUCUCAGCUACCCACCUAUACCAUUGAGUUCCUGGGAGUGAGAGCAAGCUUUUCCAACCGGUUUCCACCCUUAACUCCACCCUCCCGCCGGAGCUCCGCCGCCAACCACCACCUUCUCCGGCGAGCUCACCGGAAAAACUGUUCAGAACUUGGAUUUUCUUGCAUAGUUCAAAUCCUUGUCUUCCAUAGGUUCCAUAUACAUAUUCGGUUCGGAAAAUUAACUUGGUUUGAUAGGGUUUCAAGAGACGAGAAGGGACGGAGACCGAGGAGAAAGAACUAGAAUGAAAAAGUGACCGAGGCAGGAAGAGCUGUAAAUAGUUGUGAAUAUACGAGAGUGUUCGAGUAGAAUAAAGACCAGCUGAUGGAAGAAGACGUGUGCGACUGGACUCGUACUCUAUCAGACUGUAAAAUAAGGGUGAAAGCAGUGGGUUUUUGUAAUUAAGUUUGUCAAAAUAAUCGGGAAAGAUUCAGAGGAAUCCAUGCGAGACUCUGGGAUGUCUUGUCUAAGGAAAGGAAUUGCUUUUAAUGACGCUUAGCGCGGCUAACUUUCCUAGAGACGUUCUCAGACUAUCAAUUGGACAACGAUGAAUUCUGACCCAAAAGUCUUGUAUUUUUCAAGGUUCAUCAAUAAAAGUGCUGUUUUUCUGAAGGUAUUCUUAUUUUAUAGUUUAGGUAGGGUGUGAGUUUGGUCGUCACAGGCUUCGUUGGAGUUGUGAUUCGUCCAGAUCUAGCUUCACGCGCAUGCAGCCUCUGUUUCUCCCUCAGGUCCGGCGGUGGCUGGCAUGUGGUUCUCUGAGCAUGUGGCGUAGAUCUAGGAGGCUCGUAUUUGGAGCGUGGCGGCGGUCUUCCCGAUUUUGUUGGUCUGCGAUCUCAUCUCUUUCUUGACGCGUCCAUUCUUGUUGCUCUAGAUAUGAUGCUUCAUGCGUUCUGGCUUUUAUUUCGGAUCUGGUGCCUGCGGAGUGCUAAUUGUUGUUUCUCCUCCUCCACCUUUAUGCAAAUUUGGUGUCGGUGGCAGAUCUAGUACUUCUUCCAACUAUGUUCGUGAGGUGUUGCAAGGUAGAGUUUUGGACGCAAGAAUGGUGCUUUCGGUGUGUCGAUGUCGUCGUUUUGUCACGGAUCUGGUUUGGGCGCUUUUGUUGUGGGCUUACGAAGUGCUGCCCGAGGUCGUCAGUGAAGGUUAUGGGACAAUCUUGUGCUGAUUGGGGUUGUCAGCAGCGCGCCCAAUCUUGUGGCAGCUUUUUCUUUCCACUUGAUGUCCUGUGCUGUUUUGUGUCCCCUCUAAUAGCGAGAUGGGUCAUGCUUUUGUUGGGUUAUGUGGCUUUUCUUUGCCAUAUCUCGGUCCAUGACGGAUGUUCCUUCUCUUUGGUCGUUUGGUGCUUGAUCCAGGUUUAGACCUUGUCGAUGUCACUUAGGGUUUUUCCUACAAUUUGUGCAGGGUGAUUAUGAAGAAGGCAAAAGAUCCUAAAUGAAGCAUCAAAAAUGGAGAAACCCCACUUUGAAAGGUUUGGUUUUUGGUCAAGCGAGAACUAUGCUUGCUCAAGUGAGAUAUGGUGCUUCCAGGAAAGAAGAUCUUUGCUCGAGCCAGCACUGAGCAAGCCAAAACCAGAGAAGAAAAUAUUUUUCAGUGUGAAACUCGCUCACCCAAAAAAAACUCACUUGAGCCAAGUUCAAGUCGGAAGAACUCGCUCAAGCGAAGCUAAAUCUCACUCGAGCGAGCAAUGGUGGUGUAGGAAACCCACCAUGAAGAAAGAUACUUGCUCGAGCAGGGCAGAACACAUGUAUAACAUAUUUUUUUGAUUUUUUAUUAAUCUUGUUCACUUCCAGACCUUAGAAGCAAGGGAAAAAGCUAGGAGCACUUGGAGAGGAGGCUUGGGUGCCGGAUUCGACGACGAGAUAAUCGCGGAGUCUUCGGUUUUUGUCGUUUAUUUUCUAUGUUGAUAAAGUUAUUCAUCACAAUGGAUAACUAAUCUCUCUUUGUUGGCACCAGUAUGUAUUCUAUUUGAUUUAGCCCAUAUAUAAUCAUGUUCCUUUGC
Long non-coding RNA from Lotus japonicus, 2594 nucleotides. RefSeq lists it as uncharacterized. The transcript is spliced from 3 exons. Lineage: Eukaryota; Viridiplantae; Streptophyta; Magnoliopsida; Fabales; Fabaceae. The record is from RefSeq and is a predicted model, not a curated record.